AAACCAACAGGGAUUGCCUCAGUAACGGCGAGUGAAGCGGCAACAGCUCAAAUUUGAAAUCUGGCCGCAAGGUCCGAGUUGUAAUUUGUAGAGGAUGCUUUUGGCGAGGUGACUUCCGAGUUCCCUGGAACGGGACGCCAUAGAGGGUGAGAGCCCCGUACGGUAGUGACACCGAGCCUCUGUAAAGCUCCUUCGACGAGUCGAGUAGUUUGGGAAUGCUGCUCUAAAUGGGAGGUGUAAGUCUUCUAAAGCUAAAUACCGGCCAGAGACCGAUAGCGCACAAGUAGAGUGAUCGAAAGAUGAAAAGCACUUUGAAAAGAGAGUUAAAAAGUACGUGAAAUUGUUGAAAGGGAAGCAUUUAUGACCAGACUUGGGCUUGGUUGAACAUCCGGCGUUCUCGCCGGUGCACUCUGCCAGCCUAGGCCAGCAUCAGUUCACGCCGGGGGAUAAAGGUAGCGGGAAUGUGACUCCCUCCGGGGAGUGUUAUAGCCCGUUGCGCAAUGCCCUGGGGUGGACUGAGGAACGCGCUUCGGCACGGAUGCUGGCGUAAUGGUCAUCAAUGAC
Molecule: ribosomal RNA, 564 nt
Filed under: Hypocreales sp. IOC-1504
Lineage: Eukaryota; Fungi; Ascomycota; Sordariomycetes; Hypocreales
Description: eukaryotic LSU rRNA
Rfam family: Eukaryotic large subunit ribosomal RNA
Source: RNAcentral